CCUCGACGGUUUGAGGAGACACUUCAAUUGAUUGGUAAGAGACAAUGUCAGAUACAAUAUACUGUAUGUACAUAACUAAUUUUGUAUGUUACAGGAUAUGAAAAUUCUAUGGCUGACGCCAUUUAGUACAGGGCUGGAAAAAACUGUGAAAUACUUUAACUCCAUUUAUCCCUCUCCUCUAAAGACAAAAAUAUUCAAGAACUCAAGGAGAGCUUAGACAGCCCAGACAUUUAUCCAUCCGAAACUUACAACAUACGGACCUGGGGUUUGCGGCAUGAACUAUCUGGCGAAAAGUGGCAAAAAUCAAGACCACAUCUUUUACAAGCCAUGUUAACAAGCGGAAGGACACCUCAACAAGCUUGCCAACAGUGUCAUGUGGAAGAGGCUGUUAUUCGAUGCAGAGACUGCCUCCCCAAAGAACUGUAUUGCAGUAACUGUGAUGUGUCAGUGCAUCACCAGUAUGUUCUACACAACAGGGAGUCAUUUGUGGGAGGCUUUUACAAAGCCAUUUCACCGAAAUGCAUCGUUACAAAAGACAGCACUGGUGAACAUGUAGUUAGUGAGCAAGAUUGUCUCCUACCGAUCGCUUUGCCCAACAAGAUUUGCUGUUGUGGUGCUGAGGAUGUUUCAGUGAAUGCUGGUCGUGCCAUUAUCUUCAUAAAUAUUAAUGGUCGCUAUGAUCUCUCCCUUCCUUUGGUAACCUGUAAGUCUUGCCUAAAAUCGUGGACAC
Paramisgurnus dabryanus is the source of this 730-nucleotide non-coding RNA. Lineage: Eukaryota; Metazoa; Chordata; Actinopteri; Cypriniformes; Cobitidae. The record is from RefSeq and is a predicted model, not a curated record.